UCCAUAGCUGAACUCUUUUCCUCCCCCUUUGCCAAAGAAAAGUUCUAAAAUGGGGUUGAAAUCUGUAGCUAAUAUGAAUAAGACGAUGACUCCGAUUUUGCUUCUCAACUGUCGAAACGUGAGCGAGCUCCUCCUAAAAAAAAUCAAAGGUUGCUGCCCAGGAAAAAAUUCAUCAAGAUAAUGCUCAAAAAAUGAUUAAGAUGGAGCUGGUCUUCGAUCUCAGAUCAUUGCAGGUCUUCUGUUCCAAUUGAUUUCGCCAGAAUUAAUGGUUGUAUUUUUCUCGUUUUGGUUUCAUUUUGGUUGUUUUGCGGUUUUGAAACGAUCGCGGUAUUUUCAUCUUCAACGUUCGCUCUGUACAGCUGAAGGCUUAGUGCAUGUGGUAUUUUUGUAAAUAUUUGUAUGUGGACUGUAUAAAUGUUUAAUGGGCCGGCCCAUAGUAUUUUUGUAAUUUUUUUUC
This is a long non-coding RNA of Cannabis sativa, 457 nucleotides long. RefSeq lists it as uncharacterized. NCBI's taxonomy places the organism in Eukaryota, Viridiplantae, Streptophyta, Magnoliopsida, Rosales, Cannabaceae. The record is from RefSeq and is a predicted model, not a curated record. The transcript has 2 exons.